CAGUAGCCGCGGUAAUACGAAGGGGGCUAGCGUUGUUCGGAUUUACUGGGCGUAAAGCGCACGUAGGCGGACUUUUAAGUCAGGGGUGAAAUCCCGGGGCUCAACCCCGGAACUGCCUUUGAUACUGGGAGUCUUGAGUUCGAGAGAGGUGAGUGGAAUUGCGAGUGUAGAGGUGAAAUUCGUAGAUAUUCGCAGGAACACCAGUGGCGAAGGCGGCUCACUGGCUCGAUACUGACGCUGAGGUGCGAAAGCGUGGGGAGCAAACAGGAUUAGAUACCCCCGUAGUCCCUGUCUCUUAUAC
Molecule: ribosomal RNA, 301 nt
Filed under: uncultured bacterium
Lineage: Bacteria
Description: partial 16S ribosomal RNA
Rfam family: Bacterial small subunit ribosomal RNA
Source: RNAcentral